Non-coding RNA from Theobroma umbraticum, 2903 nucleotides. NCBI's taxonomy places the organism in Eukaryota, Viridiplantae, Streptophyta, Magnoliopsida, Malvales, Malvaceae. The record is from RefSeq and is a predicted model, not a curated record.
CUUUUUCCCGGUUCCUUCGCCAACCCAAAUUUCUGACUUGAAGAAAAACGCACCCUCCCUACCUCUUCUUCUCUCCUCUCAAAAUUUUAAAUCAAAACAAACUAAGCACAUUUGUCUUCCGAAAGCGCUACCUUCCGAGUCGACUCACUCCUCUCGACCUAAACUCGUCCAUUUUUGACUCGGUCACCACAGCAUGGAGAACCUGAUAACAUUGGUGAACAAGAUACAGAGAGCGUGUACGGCGCUUGGCGACCACGGAGACGAAAGCGCGUUGCCUACCCUUUGGGAUUCCUUGCCCUCCAUCGCAGUCGUUGGUGGUCAAAGUUCUGGAAAGUCAUCUGUGCUGGAGAGUAUCGUUGGAAAAGACUUUUUACCUCGUGGCGCAGGGAUUGUUACAAGGCGGCCUCUCGUCUUGCAACUUCAUAGGAUAGAUGAGGGAAAAGAAUAUGCAGAGUUCAUGCACCUUCCUAGAAAGAAAUUCACCGAUUUUGCUGCGGUCAGGAAGGAGAUUUCUGAUGAGACAGAUCGAGAAACUGGCCGUACCAAACAAAUUUCUAGUGUUCCAAUCCAUCUCAGUAUCUUCUCUCCUAAUGUGGUGAACUUGACAUUGGUUGAUCUCCCUGGACUUACAAAAGUAGCUGUUGAGGGACAACCUGAAAGCAUUGUGCAAGACAUUGAGAAUAUGGUUCGGGCAUUUAUUGAAAAGCCCAACUGUAUCAUACUGGCAAUUUCUCCUGCCAAUCAAGAUCUUGCUACUUCUGAUGCAAUAAAAAUUUCACGUGAGGUUGACCCUAAAGGAGAGAGGACAUUUGGAGUUUUAACGAAGAUUGAUCUGAUGGACCAGGGUACCAAUGCAGUUGAUAUUCUGGAAGGAAAAUCAUAUAAGCUACAGUUUCCAUGGAUUGGUGUUGUUAACCGCUCUCAAGCUGACAUUAACAAGAGUGUUGAUAUGAUUGCUGCUCGUCGUAGAGAGAGAGAAUAUUUUCAAAAUAGCCCGGAGUAUAGUCACCUUGCUAACAGGAUGGGUUCUGAGCACUUAGGAAAGAUGCUUUCUAAGCACUUGGAAAUGGUGAUAAAGUCUCGACUUCCUGGUCUUCAGUCUCUUAUUAGCAAGACUAUAAUUGAUCUGGAGGCAGAACUGAGCCGUCUUGGGAAGCCUAUUGCUGCUGAUGCUGGAGGGAAGUUAUAUAUGAUAAUGGAAAUCUGUCGAGCUUUUGACCAAAACUUUAAAGAACAUCUUGAUGGCGUACGCCCUGGAGGUGAUAAAGUAUAUGGUGUAUUUGAUAACCAACUUCCUGCUGCUUUGAAGAGGUUACAAUUUGAUAAACAUCUUUCAAUGGAUAAUGUGCGCAAGUUAAUUACUGAAGCUGAUGGAUACCAACCACAUCUGAUAGCUCCUGAGCAAGGAUAUCGCCGUCUUAUCGAAUCUUGUUUAGUAUCUAUCAGAGGUCCUGCUGAAGCAGCUGUUGAUGCGGUUCAUUCUAUACUGAAGGAUCUUGUUAACAAGGCUAUGGCCGAGACAAUGGAACUAAAGCAGUAUCCCACUUUGAGAGUGGAAGUAAGGAAUGCUGCUAUUGAAUCAUUGGAAAGACUGAGGGAAGAAAGCAAGAGAGCAACUCUACAGCUAGUUGAUAUGGAAUGUGGUUACCUGACUGUUGAAUUUUUCCGGAAACUUCCUCAAGAUAUUGAGAAGGGUGGAAAUCCUACACAUUCAGUUUUUGAUAGAUAUAAUGAUUCCUAUCUUCGACGAGUUGGUAGCACUGUCCUGUCAUAUGUCAAUAUGACUUGUGCAAGUUUGAGAAACUCUAUUCCAAAGUCAGUUGUCUAUUGUCAAGUCCGCGAGGCCAAACGCAGCUUGCUUGACUUCUUCUUCACUGAACUGGGUAAGAAAGAGACAAAGCAGUUGGCCAAGUUGUUGGAUGAGGAUCCAGCAGUUAUGCAGCGUCGUACCAACCUUGCAAAGAGACUGGAGUUGUACAGGAGCGCCCAAGCAGAGAUCGAUGCAGUUGCCUGGUCGAAGUAGUGGAGAAUGGACUAUUUUCAAAACCUUGCUCUAUUUAUCGGAAGUUGAAUUGAGAUUUAUCUGCAGGAUGAUUCUUUUAUUCAUUGGAAGAGGAGGGUGAACUGCAGAGUUUAUUUGCCACUGCUUUUUAGUUAGGACAUUUAAACCAACACAAAGGAUUCAGUCAGCCGUUAUUGACGUAGUCCCUUUAACAUUUUAUUUGAUAUCAAUUCUCACAUAUUCUGUUUACAUUGUGAUCUACGACGGUUCCUAGCCUUGAAUUGUUCCAGGUUUUCAGGAGAAAAGAGAUCCAUGGAGGUGCGGGGAAUCGAACCCCGUGCCUCUCGCAUGCGAAGCGAGCGCUCUACCAUAUGAGCUACACCCCCUUGGAUGCUGCCAGGCCACCAAGGUUAAAGCAGGUGAUGACUGGGAUCUCUCACACGACAACGUAAGACAUAAAGAAUUCAUCCAGAUUCCAGACCCAUUAAGAAAUCUUUCUUCUUAUGGACAUGCAUUGCAUUCGUUGGCUUACCUCAGUCUGAUCUGCCUGUCAAUUGUUAAUGGAUGCCACGAGCAAAUAUAGUUGUUCUGUGUCAAUCACGACUGCUUUAACUUAGCAUUGACUUGUUAUAGCGAAAACAAAAAAAAAAAUUUCCUUGGAUGUUGAAUUAAUACUAUGGUUGAAUUUGGGUGAUGCUGAUGGCAAUAAGGUAAUGGCAUCUUUUGCAGUGGCAUGUAUUAAAGAUUAACAUCCAGAAAUUGCUACAACAAGAAGGAGCCACCUGGUUGUUUUCACCGCCAUACUCCUCCAUGUGUCCAACUCCAUGGGUAGAGAAUCAAGGUCAAACCCUCUUUGAUGCAGCCAAGACAGGCUUAUAUUAAUGGCAGUUGACAUCACAGA